Molecule: ribosomal RNA, 869 nt
Filed under: uncultured archaeon
Lineage: Archaea
Description: bacterial SSU rRNA
Rfam family: Archaeal small subunit ribosomal RNA
Source: RNAcentral
CGGUUGAUCCUGCCGGAGGUCACUGCUAUUNGGAUUCGACUAAGCCAUGCGAGUCGAGAGGGUUCGGCCCUCGGCUGACGGCUCAGUAACACGUGGAUAAUCUGCCCUUAGGUGGAGGAUAAUCUCGGGAAACUGAGGAUAAUACUCCAUAGAUCUAGGAUGCUGGAAUGCAUCUAGAUUGAAAGCUCCGGCGCCUAAGGAUGAGUCUGCGGACUAUCAGGUUGUAGUCAGGGUAAAGACCUGACUAGCCUACGACGGAUACGGGUUGUGAGAGCAAUAACCCGGAGACGAUAUCUGAGACACGAUAUCGGGCCCUACGGGGCGCAGCAGGCGCGAAAACUUCACACUGUGCGAAAGCGCGAUGAGGGAAUCCCAAGUGUUUGCUCGUAAGAGUAAACUGUUUCUUUGUUUAAAACGCAGAGAGAGUAAGGGCUGGGUAAGACGGGUGCCAGCCGCCGCGGUAAUACCUGCAGCUCGAGUGGUGAUCAUUAUUAUUGGGCCUAAAACGUCCGUAGCCGGUUUAGUAAAUGCCUGGGUAAAUCGUGUAGCUUAACUAUACGACUUCCGGGUAGACUGCUAAACUUGAGACCGGGAGAGGCUAGAGGUACUCCUGGGGUAGAGGUGAAAUUCUGUAAUCCUAGGGGGACCACCAGUGGCGAAGGCGUCUAGCUAGAACGGGUCUGACGGUGAGGGACGAAGCCCUGGGGCACAAACCGGAUUAGAUACCCGGGUAGUCCAGGGUGUAAACGCUGCUUGCUUGAUGUUAGUUGGGCUCCGAGCCCAACUAGUGUCGGAGAGAAGUUGUUAAGCAAGCUGCCUGGGAAGUACGGUCGCAAGGCUGAAACUUAAAGGAAUUGGCGGGGGAGCAC